CUGGCAAACUGAUAAACAGCUGCCUGUUUCCCCACUGGGAUGUGUGGGAGUUAGCAUAAAGUCGUCCUGCGCCUCCGUGUUGGACGUGUCACUUGAUAGGAGCGGCGGCGGAACAAGAAGCUGUGACCAUAUCUCACCUACUUAAGACUUUUGGCUUUUAUACGGACUUUAAAGCUAAUGGGCCCGUGCGCUGUUCCUCCCCUGCGGCUCUGUAAAAAGGGACGGACAGUCAGUCACUGCUUACAAGCUCACAGUGUGGAAGUGGCUGUUAACACAAGGACACGGAAAAAUGAAUCGAUGGAAGCUAAUCAAUACUGUGCAGGGGAAUGAGACCAGUUCAGAGUCACUGAUGGCUGUUUUGGUGUUGCUCGGGCUCUGCCGUGUGAAGCCUUUUGGUUUUUAUUUUCAGGGUUUGAACUGCUGGCAAAUGAGGCGAACAGAAGAGCAGCACUUUCUCAACCCCUGGUCCCGGGAUCGCGUUAUCAGCCUCCCGCUUCAUUAUAACAACACAUUCAUUUAAAUCAGACGUGCUGCAACAGGGAUACGUGUGAAACAUGUGGGGCAGUGGGACCCCAGGACCAGACCCUGAAGUGUUGCUUUAGGUGUUUCCAUGCCAACACACCUGAUUCC
Long non-coding RNA from Salarias fasciatus (jewelled blenny), 630 nucleotides. RefSeq lists it as uncharacterized. Lineage: Eukaryota; Metazoa; Chordata; Actinopteri; Blenniiformes; Blenniidae. The record is from RefSeq and is a predicted model, not a curated record. The transcript is spliced from 3 exons.